This 214-nucleotide unclassified non-coding RNA is filed under the name plant metagenome. Its description in RNAcentral is "partial contains small subunit ribosomal RNA and internal transcribed spacer 1". The stretch from base 1 to 46 matches the Rfam family "Eukaryotic small subunit ribosomal RNA", at positions 1786 to 1831 of the family's 1831-position model. The record is from RNAcentral.
AAGUCGUAACAAGGUUUCCGUAGGUGAACCUGCGGAAGGAUCAUUAUCGAGUUAGGGUCUCCGGGCCCGAUCUCCAACCCUGUGUCUAUAUACCAUGUUGCUUUGGCGGGCCGUCAGGCUCACGCCCGGCUACCGGCUCACGCUGGUAAGCGCCCGCCAGAGAACCCCAAACCCUGAAUGUUAGUGUCGUCUGAGUACUAUAUAAUAGUUAAAA